Molecule: ribosomal RNA, 117 nt
Filed under: Pteropus alecto (black flying fox)
Lineage: Eukaryota; Metazoa; Chordata; Mammalia; Chiroptera; Pteropodidae
Source: RNAcentral
GUCCAUGGCCACACGAUCCUGAACGUGCCGAUCGCUUCUGAUCUUGGAAGCUAAGGAGGUCGGGCCUGGUUAGUACUUGUAUGGGAGACCACCUAAGAAAACUAGCUACUGUAGGCA